Ribosomal RNA from Plasmodium falciparum 3D7, 4371 nucleotides. NCBI's taxonomy places the organism in Eukaryota, Apicomplexa, Aconoidasida, Haemosporida, Plasmodiidae. The record is from RefSeq and is a predicted model, not a curated record.
GCAAAUCCGCUGAACUUAAGCAUAUUAUUAAGCGGAAGAAAAGAAAAUAACAAUGAUUCUUUUAGUAACGGCGAGUGAACAAAGAAAAGCUCAACAUGGAAAAUCCGACAGAUAGCUACCCGCGAUUUGUCGGAAUUGUCAAGUUGAAAAACAUUCCAAGAGUUCUUUUUUAUAAUAUGACAAUGAGAAGAAGUAGAUAGAAAUGUCUCUCCUUAGAGGGUGAAAGACCCGUAUUCUUAAUCAUAAAACUGAUCAAUUGGAAUGUUUUGUUUUUGAGUCGUGUUCUUUGAGACUGGAGCACUAAUUAGUGUGAUACAUUUCACAUAAAGCUAAAUAUUUGUAAGAAACCGAUAGUAAACAAGUACCGUGAGGGAAAGAUGAAAUAGUACUCAGGAAUGAGCAAUUAAAUAGUACCUGAAAUCGUUAAGAUGGAACGGAUUAAAAAAGGAAAAAAGUAACAACAUAGUUAAAAUGAGAGAUUUUGGUGCGCGCAAUAAAGAAUGGAGUCCUUAAAAAAGGAUGUAGAUAUUCAAGUAUCAAAACAAAAUUUUUCUUUUUUUAAAAAGAAAUUUUUUGAAGCUUUUGUUAUAAUAUUCAUUUUUAUUCUUAUCCUUUUUUUUAGGUAAGAUAAAAAUGAUACAAAAGUUGUCUUUCAUACUAUAUAUAUAUAUAUAUAUAUAUAUAAAUAUUAUGUUCUUAUUAAAAGAAACAUGAGUGAAUGAAAAUAAAUAAUCGUGGAGCAAAAAUAAACACAAUAACAAGAAAAAAAAAUAAAAAAAAUAAAAUAAAAUAAUUAAAAUAAAAAUAAAACAAAAAGAAACAAAAAAAAGCAAAAUAUAAAAUAAAAGAAUUAAUUGAAUUUAAUUUCAUUUUAUUUUUUUCCUUUUAUAUUUUGCUUUUUUAUUUUGUUUUAUUUUUAUUUUAAUUAUUAUUUUUUUUUUUUUUUUUUUUUUCCCUUAUUGACUAUUUUUCUAAGCUAAUGUGGAAAAAUAUAACUUGCUUCUUUUUUUUUUUUUCUUUUCUGAAGGGAGAAAAAAAAGAAAAAUAUGAAAGAUACAUUUAUUUAAUUUACUGAGGAUUGUGAAAAUUAUAUUAAUUGUAUAUGAUGCGAAAUAAUAUAAUUAAGAUGUUUUUAUAAAGUACUUUUUUAACCCACUCGUCUUGAAACACGGACCAAGGAGUCUAACAAAUGUGCAAGUGUAUAUGAUAAGAAUAAACAUAGUAUAAAAAUUUCUACGCAUAAUUAAUGUAACAAAAAUAUAUGUUUAUUAAUUGUAGAUUUUGUGGGGUUUUAAAUUUUUUUUAUAAAUCCACACAAAUGCAUACAAUACCGGUGAGCAAUUAUGCUUUAUUGAGUAAGAGCAUACUUGUUAGGACCCGAGAGGCUUUGAACUAAACGUGAUGAGAUUGAAGUCAGAGUAAAAUCUGAUGGAGGAUCGAGUUGAUACUGACGUGCAAAUCGUUCAUUUCAAUUGCGUUUAGGGGCGAAAGACUAAUCGAAAAGCCUAUUAGCUGGUUAUUUUCGAAAGAUCUCUCAGGAUCGCUGGAGUUGAUUAUAAUAUAGUUUUACCUGGUAGAAAUAAUGAUUAGAGGAUUCAAGGAGAUGAUAAUUCCUUGACCUAUAUAUAUCGAAAGAUUCAAUAGGUAAAAAAAUGAGGAAAUAACUUUAUUGUAUUUUCAUUCAUAUUUAAAAAUAAGAUAACUCCAAGUUGGCCAUUUUUGGUAAGCAGAACUGGCGAUGAGGGAUGCUCCUAACGCUUGGAUAAGGUGCCUAAAUAUCCGCUCAUUAGAUACCAUUAAAAAGGUGUUGGUUUGUGAUUACAGUAGGACGGUAUUCAUAGAAGUUGAAAUCCGCUAGGAAGUGUGUAACAACUUACCUACCUAAUAAACUCGCCCUGAAAAUGGAUGGCGCUAAAGCGGAUUACCGAUACCAAGCCAUAAAAAAAAAAAAAAAAAAAAAUUCAAUAUUUUUUUUAUUUUUUUAGAUUCUUUUUAUGAGUAGAAAAUCGUGGGGUUUUGUGUUGAAGCGAAAUACGUGAGUUUUCGUGGAACAUCUCCCUAGUGCAGAUCUUGGUGGAAGUAGCAAAUAUUCUUAUGAGAACUUUGAAGACUGAAGUGGAGAAGGGUUUUUUGUAAACUAUGUUUGAGCAAAAGUUAGCCGUUCCUAAGAGAUAGCUGAAAAGCGUUAUAAAUUGAGGUUACCUAUUAUAUGAAAAGUAUAGUAGUGUUUUUUCUCUUCUCGAAAGGGAAGCAGGUUGAUAUUCCUGCGCCAUAUGUAAUAAGAACUAAUAAAUAGAGAUGGUAACAUAUAUAUAAAUAAAUGAACUCCUUAACAUAGGCCUUACGCUUGGAGUGCGUUAUCUUUGCACUUUAACUUUAUAUCAAACCUUCGAAAUCGAUUUACUUGUAGAAAAGGUUCGAUGAAUUUACAAUAAGCAAUUUAUUUAUUAUAUGCGUGGACCGGUACACAUGAUAUAUAUAUUAAUGAAUUGUUUUGUAGUAAUAGUAAUUCGUUUGUUGUACGAAUUAUCCAAAGUUGUAUGGACUAUCCAUGAAAAAAGGAGGGAACACUAAAUUAAAUGGGAAUGUAUAAAAUACUAUAAAAGUAUGAAAGAAGAAAAAGUAAAGAAAGGAAAGAAAAAAAAAUAUUAACCUUCAGCUUUUUUUUCUAUUUUUUUUUUCUUUUUUUGCUUUCAUAUAUUUUUAUAGUGUUUUUACAUUAACCAUUUUUUUUUUUAUAUUCUUAAAUUACAAUUAUAAAAAUGAACGUACCAAUAACCGCAUCAGGUCUCCAAGGUUAGUAGCCUCUGGUUAAAUAGAAAAACGUAGGUAAGGGAAGUAAGCAAAUUAGAUCCGUAACUUCGGGAAAAGGAUUGGCUCUGAUAACACAAAAUGAGAAGAAAAAAAUGAAAAGAAAAAAAUGAAAAGAAUUGUGGUUGAAAAUAAAAAUGUUAAGAUGUUUAUUUAUAUAUUUAUAUUAGUUUUUCUUAUAUUUUAAGAUUAAUUAAUUAAUUAUAUAUUUAAUAUGUUAAAAUGUUUUAUAUUUCUUCUUCUACUCUAUUCUAUUCCAUUCUAUUCUAUUCUAUUUUUUUUUUUCUCUUUCUCUUCGAUAUUACAUAUAUUUUGUUAUUAUAAUAAAAAUUAUGUAAUAUUGUUUAGCUGUGUUUAUUCAGAACUGAAACGGACAAGGGGAAUCCGACUGUUUAAUAAAAACAUAGCAUUGUGAAAAGCUAUAACUGGUAUUAACACAAUGUGAUUUCUGCCCAGUGCUUUGAAUGUCAAGUUGAUGAAAAUUUCAAUUAAGCGCAGGUAAACGGCGGGAGUAACUAUUAUGACUCUCUUAAGGUAGCCAAAAAUGUAUGGUCGAUAAAAAGGACCAUCAGGAAUGGAUUAACGAGAUUCCUACUGUCCCUACUUGCGAUCUAGCGAAACCACAACCAAGGGAAAGGGCUUGGUAAAAUCAGCAGGGAAAGAAGACCCUGUUGUGCUUUACUCUAGUCUGACUUUGUAAAAAGAUUUAAGAGGUAUAGUAUAAGUGGUAGUAGAAAUUGAAAUAAUGUUUUUACGUCAGUGAAAUACCACUACUUUUAAAAAGUUUUUACUAAUCCAUUUAUCUAGUGAAUGACUAUUAUAUAAAUAUAUAUAUAUAUAUAUAUUUUCUAUAUUUUAUGUGUAUCACUUUUUAUGGAGACAGAGUCAGGUGGGGAGUUUGACUAAGGUGGUACAUCUGUUAAAAAAUAACGCAGAUGUCCAAAGAUAAGCUCAAGGAGAACAGAAAUCUCUUGUAGACUAAAAGGGGAAAAGCUUGUUUGAUUUCUAUUUUCAGAAAGAAUAGAAAACGUGAAAACGUGGCCUAUCGAUCCUUUAUAUUUGCAAAAUGACGUAAAAUUAUUUACUACUGUGCAUAUAAAGGUGUCUGAAAAGUUACCACAGGGAUAACUUGUUUGUGGCUGCUUAGCGAUAUUAGCAACGUGGCUUUUUGUAUUUUCGAUUACGGCUCUUCCUAUCAUUGGGACGCAGAAGUCUCAAAGUGUCGGAUUGUUCACCCGCUAAUAGGGAACGUGAGCUGGGUUUAGACCGUCGUGAGACAGGUUAGUUUUACCCUACUGAUGAAUAUUAUUAUAUUAUUAUAUAUAUAUAUAGUAUUGUGACAGUAAUCCAACUUGGUACGAGAGGAUUAGUUGGUUCAGACAAUUGGUACAGCAAUUGGGUUGAUAAACCAGUGUUGCGAAGCUACGUCUGUUGGAUAAUGACUGAACGAUUCUAAAGUCAGAACCCAUACUGAUUAAACAAUAAUAUAAUUGUAUAUUUUUGUUAUAAGGUUGUGUUUUAUUUUUUUUUAUUGCUAAUGUAAAAGAGAAAUUUAAUAUA